This 574-nucleotide long non-coding RNA is filed under the name Pogona vitticeps (central bearded dragon). RNAcentral describes it as "lncRNA (ENSPVIG00000004606.1)". Lineage: Eukaryota; Metazoa; Chordata; Lepidosauria; Squamata; Agamidae. The record is from RNAcentral.
AUGCAGAUGAAGAAACAGAGCGUUUCAGUUCCUAACAUCCCUCAGCCAGGAAGCGUCUUGAAAUACAUCAAGGUCCUGGAUGUAUGUUCUCACUGUUUUGAUUUCACCAUUUUAAUGCUAUGGAUUAGACCAGCCAUUCUCAACAGGGGGGUCAUGGCACCUUUGAAGGAAGUCAGAAACUGGAAACAAUUCUUCACACUUCACCUGAUAAGGUUAAUUGUGCUAAUUAUCCAAUCCUGAUUCUGCCUAUGUGUUUUUCAUAUUGUGUUUAUGGCCAUGGCAAAAAAGAAAAAGAAAAGAAAAGAAAAAAGAGAAAGGCUGAGAAUGGCUGGACUAGACGCUAAGGAAGAAUCAGUCAUCAUUUAAAAUGGAAAUGGUGUUUCGCCCCUGUGGAUCUAGCUGCUUCUGAGGAAACUCUCCUUUUGUCCCAUCUCUGGUUUAGCAAGCAGUAUUCUUUUUACCCUUAGUAAUAACUUUACUUUACUUUACUUUUACUGGAUUUUUGCCCCGCCCCCCUAGACAAAGUCUACUCAGGGCAGCUUAUAUACAUAAUAAAAACAUAACAGAAACAACA